Bos taurus (domestic cattle) is the source of this 441-nucleotide long non-coding RNA. Lineage: Eukaryota; Metazoa; Chordata; Mammalia; Artiodactyla; Bovidae. The record is from Ensembl.
GAGCAGUUCCUCCCCUGAAUUAGUUGAAGUCCUCUGAGAAGCAGGCACCAAGUGAUAUUAGACAUCUGCAGAGAUUUUUUUCUUUGUUCAGCAAUGUGUCUCAGUCUUCCUGCCUGAAUCUCCAUCCUGUUAGUACAUACACUCAACAACAUGACAGAAUUUUCUUUAAAAGGUUGAUGAGUCAAGCCUUCAGCAGACUGCAAAAUUUCCGGUCAGGUGGAUAUUCACCUUCAUCAAUUCAGAUGGUCCCUCCCCAGCCUUAGUUCAAGGGUCAUGCAUGCUGCCCUGGUCUCUGGGCCCCUGGCUGUGACCUGGUCUAGAAGCACUAGACCUGCUCACUGCUAUAAGAAUAUAAACCAAUCUUGUAUGAGAAGAAAGUGAGGAUAUUUAUUUCAUUUUUAACUCUGUAUCUUCUCUUUCUAUUGUUGCCUUCUCAAACCC